This 838-nucleotide ribosomal RNA is filed under the name bacterium endosymbiont of Osedax mucofloris. RNAcentral's name for it is "bacterial SSU rRNA". It matches the Rfam family "Bacterial small subunit ribosomal RNA", at positions 8 to 865 of the family's 1533-position model. The record is from RNAcentral.
AGAGUUUGAUCAUGGCUCAGAAUGAACGCUGGCGGCGUGCUUAACACAUGCAAGUCGAACGGUAACAGAGGAGCUUGCUUCUGCUGACGAGUGGCGCACGGGUGAGUAAUGCAUAGGUAACGUGCCCCUUAGUCUAGGAUAGCCACUGGAAACGGUGAUUAAUACUGGAUAUUCCUUCUUUCUUAAUGAGAGUUGGGAAAGUUUUUCGCUAAGGGAUCGGCCUAUGUUGUAUCAGGUAGUUGGUGAGGUAAUGGCUCACCAAGCCUAUGACACAUAGCGGGUCUGAGAGGAUGAUCCGCCACACUGGUACUGAGACACGGACCAGACUCCUACGGGAGGCAGCAGUGGGGAAUAUUGCACAAUGGACGAAAGUCUGAUGCAGCAACGCCGCGUGGAGGAUGACACAUUUCGGUGCGUAAACUCCUUUUAUAUGAGAAGAUAAUGACGGUAUCAUAUGAAUAAGCACCGGCUAACUCCGUGCCAGCAGCCGCGGUAAUACGGAGGGUGCAAGCGUUAUUCGGAAUCACUGGGCGUAAAGGGUGCGUAGGCGGUUUGAUAAGUCUGAUGUGAAAUCCUAUGGCUCAACCAUAGAACUGCAUUGGAAACUGUCAGACUAGAAUACUGAAGGGGCAGAUGGAAUUAGUGGUGUAGGGGUAAAAUCCGUAGAUAUCACUAGGAAUACCGAAAGCGAAAGCGAUCUGCUGGGAAGUUAUUGACGCUGAGGCACGAAAGCGUGGGGAGCAAACGGGAUUAGAUACCCCGGUAGUCCACGCCCUAAACGAUGAAUGCUAGUCGUCGGAAAGCUCGUCUUUUCGGUGAUGCAGUUAACACAUUAAGC